Molecule: ribosomal RNA, 346 nt
Filed under: uncultured bacterium
Lineage: Bacteria
Description: bacterial SSU rRNA
Rfam family: Bacterial small subunit ribosomal RNA
Source: RNAcentral
GAUGAACGCUGGCGGCGUGCCUAAUACAUGCAAGUCGAACGCUUUGUCUUUAAUUGGUCUGACGAGCUUGCUCUGAAGUGAUUUUAUCUGACAAAGAGUGGCGAACGGGUGAGUAACACGGUGGGUAACCUACCUCUUAGCAGGGAAUAACAUUUGGAAACAAGUGCUAAUACCGUAUAAUACCAACAACCGCAAUGGUUUGUUGGUUGAAAGAUGGUUCUGCUAUCACUAAGAGAUGGACCCGCGGUACAUUAGCUAGUUGGUAAGGUAACGGCUUACCAAGGCGAUGAUGCAUAGCCCGAGUUGAGAGACUGAUCGGCCACAAUGGGACUGAGACACGGCCCAU